UUGACCAUCAGGUAUGUUUCAUCACAGAAAACCAUAAAUUCAGGGUUUCCUUUGUUUAUCUUGUUACCUGUAUUUACAUAGGUGACCAUUGGCUAUUCAACAUGAUAAUAGUUCAUUAUUAUUGUUGAUAAAUUGUUACAAUUUAUUGAUUAUCAUCAUUAAAUGAUAAAUAAAAUUCAUCCAUUGAAAAGAUAAUCAUUAUAAACACCAUAACUGAAUAAACAGUAAUCAUCUUAAUCAAUACAUUGAAUGAGUGGUAACAAUCAAAUUUAAUCAUGAUAAUACUUUAAUCCUAUAAUCUGCUGAUUAUCAUGAUUAGACUUGCGUAUCGUUAAUUAUUAGGAUUAUAAAUGGUUGAUGAUUAACCAAUCAAAAUCAAUUUGAUCAACAACAAGUAACAAAAGUAUUCAGUUUAUUGUUAACAAUUAAACUUUUGUUUCUUCUUACAUUAAUUGUUAACAAAAACUGAUUACUAUUAACGGAAAUCGUAACAAUUAACUUUCAACAAUUGGGUCAAUCAUUAAAUACCUUUUUUUUAACAGGAAACAAUUGAUUGUAAUGAUUAGUGAUUGGGAAGCAAUAAUAGUAAAUCAUUUGAGUUGUGAGUUGAUUUUUAUUGCUUUGUUUUUCCGUUCAGACAAUUAACUAACUAAUCAAAAUUAACUAACACACAGGUAAAUGUCACUAAUCCUCAUUUCCUCAACAAUCAGAAUAUCAAAUUAAAGUGAAGAAAAAAAAAUCAAUUAACUAACAGAUAAUUAAAGUGUUGUUUCAUUGAUUUAUCAUCGUUACUUUGAUCAACAAGAUGAUAUUUGAUUGUUGGGUGAAACCUUAACAGUAUCCCAACCCUUAAUUGUGUCCAGUUGAUUAUAAUAACUACAAUAUAAUUAAUAUUAUCUACAACUACAAGAUAGUAAUUUAAACUUAAUUGUAACCUGAUAAUUAUAAGGUAUUAAGAUGGUGAGUCUAAUCAACCCAACCCAACAUGAAAAGUUGACGAUUAUCACUAAUCAUUUAUGAUUAACACUCUUAAUUGUCAUUUGAAUUAAUUUAUAUAUUAAUAUAAAUAACAUCAAAUCAUCGUGAUGAUUAUUAUGCAUUUGAAAAGUGACCAAAUUUACCAAAAAUUGUAUUAUCGUUGCAACUUCAACAAAAUAUUUCUCAUCUACUGGUCAACCGCAUUGGUCAUCAAAUUUACACAGGUAACUGACCAUAUGGACACGCAAGAUUAGAGGUGAAUCAAGGCAAAUGGUCAGCAGAAGGAGCUUCAAGUUGAAAGGUAAAAAACAUAACAAGGAAGCAAAAAAAUCGCAUUCAGCAAUUGAAUCCAUUGGAACAAAUCAAUCGCAGUUAAUUGUGAUGUUAUUAAAGAGAUGAUAUCUGAUCAAGAUGAAGAUCAUUGGAGAUUCCAGAAACAAGCUUACCUGGGGCUUAUUCACCAUGGAGGGAAAGGCGAAGAGAUAAAAAAAAGCUAAACAUGGCUGCUCUUUUUUGCAUCAUUCUCUUGAUGGUCUGUUCAUCUCUUGGGU
Molecule: long non-coding RNA, 1529 nt
Organism: Panonychus citri (citrus red mite)
Lineage: Eukaryota; Metazoa; Arthropoda; Arachnida; Trombidiformes; Tetranychidae
Exons: 3
Source: RefSeq, a predicted model, not a curated record